GGCGGCGUGCUUAAACAUGCAAGUCGAACGAACCUUCGGGUUAGUGGCGGACGGGUGAGUAACGCGUGAGAAUCUGCCCUCAGGAGGGGGACAACAGCUGGAAACGGCUGCUAAUACCCCAUAUGCCGCGAGGUGAAAUGAAUUUCGCCUGAGGAUGAGCUCGCGUCUGAUUAGCUAGUUGGUGUAGGUAAUGGCUCACCAAGGCAUCGAUCAGUAGCUGGUCUGAGAGGAUGAUCAGCCACACUGGGACUGAGAUACGGCCCAGACUCCUACGGGAGGCAGCAGUGGGGAAUUUUCCGCAAUGGGCGAAAGCCUGACGGAGCAACGCCGCGUGAGGGAUGAAGGCCUCUGGGCUGUAAACCUCUUUUAUCAAGGAAGAAGAUCUGACGGUACUUGAUGAAUAAGUCACGGCUAAUUCCGUGCCAGCAGUCGCGGUAAUACGGGAGUGGCAAGCGUUAUCCGGAAUUAUUGGGCGUAAAGCGUCCGCAGGCGAGCCUUCAAGUCUGCUGUUAAAAAGUGGAGCUUAACUCCAUCAUGGCAGUGGAAACUGUUGGGCUUGAGUGUGG
Molecule: ribosomal RNA, 566 nt
Filed under: uncultured bacterium
Lineage: Bacteria
Description: bacterial SSU rRNA
Rfam family: Bacterial small subunit ribosomal RNA
Source: RNAcentral